RNAcentral lists this ribosomal RNA (451 nucleotides) under Bacillus cereus. RNAcentral's name for it is "bacterial SSU rRNA". It matches the Rfam family "Bacterial small subunit ribosomal RNA", at positions 75 to 509 of the family's 1533-position model. Lineage: Bacteria; Bacillati; Bacillota; Bacilli; Caryophanales; Bacillaceae. The record is from RNAcentral.
AGAGCUUGCUCUUAUGAAGUUAGCGGCGGACGGGUGAGUAACACGUGGGUAACCUGCCCAUAAGACUGGGAUAACUCCGGGAAACCGGGGCUAAUACCGGAUAACAUUUUGAACUGCAUGGUUCGAAAUUGAAAGGCGGCUUCGGCUGUCACUUAUGGAUGGACCCGCGUCGCAUUAGCUAGUUGGUGAGGUAACGGCUCACCAAGGCAACGAUGCGUAGCCGACCUGAGAGGGUGAUCGGCCACACUGGGACUGAGACACGGCCCAGACUCCUACGGGAGGCAGCAGUAGGGAAUCUUCCGCAAUGGACGAAAGUCUGACGGAGCAACGCCGCGUGAGUGAUGAAGGCUUUCGGGUCGUAAAACUCUGUUGUUAGGGAAGAACAAGUGCUAGUUGAAUAAGCUGGCACCUUGACGGUACCUAACCAGAAAGCCACGGCUAACUACGUGCC